UAGGGAAUCUUCCACAAUGGGCGCAAGUCUGAUGGAGCAACGCCGCGUGAGUGAAGAAGGGUUUCGGCUCGUAAAACUCUGUUGUUAAAGAAGAACAUAUCUGAGAGUAACUGUUCAUACGUUGACGGUAUUUAACCAGAAAGUCACGGCUAACUACGUGCCUG
RNAcentral lists this ribosomal RNA (164 nucleotides) under uncultured bacterium. RNAcentral's name for it is "partial 16S ribosomal RNA". It matches the Rfam family "Bacterial small subunit ribosomal RNA", at positions 355 to 511 of the family's 1533-position model. The record is from RNAcentral.